Molecule: long non-coding RNA, 703 nt
Organism: Orbicella faveolata
Lineage: Eukaryota; Metazoa; Cnidaria; Anthozoa; Scleractinia; Merulinidae
Source: RefSeq, a predicted model, not a curated record
AAUGUGAUUAUCCGUAUAUAGCUCACAACUCUUUCAAUGUUGCUGCUCGUCAAAGUCAUCCAAACCGCGCAUGGUCGUGUCAAUAUAUCUGGCGUCAGCUUAGUAAGCAUCAUUACAGUCGAGUGUGAGUUUCCUCCAACUGGGCGCGUUACAAUUUAUCUCGCCGAAAUGCCACCAAAACCGACGCCAGAAAAGCCGCCAGAAAAGCCGCCACAAUCUAAACUAAGGCCUAACGUCACUCCCGAUCCAGGUUACAAACCGCCUGCUAACCAACAGUAACAGUAUCGUGUUCUGAAGAAGACGUAAAGACGAAACAUGGUUCGCAUCCUGUACGAUACUUUAAGAAGAAACAUGACACAAGAAAGAGAGUAAAUGAAGCCUAGCGCACAAGGACCGAUGUGUUAUCUUUUCUGUUCUGUUUUCUUCAAGUUUACUUGUGACAGUUUGCACUCCUGUUUUGAAAAACUUUAAAGACUCUUGUACUUUGUUGGAACAUUACUUUGUAUCAGUAGGAAAAGCUAUAAAUUCGUUACAGUUUUCAUGAGAUUAUAAUCACGUCUGUUUAAGUGCAUGCAUCAUUUUUAAGUUAAAUUGCUUGCGUACAAGAAAAGCAUCAUUUAUUCUUUCAUUUCUGGUGUGAACUGUGAAACGCAUGAUUUUUGUAGACAGAGCCAUCAUGAAAUAAAUAUUGUGAAGAAAGUGA